RNAcentral lists this ribosomal RNA (469 nucleotides) under uncultured bacterium. Its description in RNAcentral is "partial 16S ribosomal RNA". It matches the Rfam family "Bacterial small subunit ribosomal RNA", at positions 28 to 507 of the family's 1533-position model. The record is from RNAcentral.
GACGAACGCUGGCGGCGUGCUUAACACAUGCAAGUCGAACGGAAAGGCCCUGCUUGCAGGGUGCUCGAGUGGCGAACGGGUGAGUAACACGUGGGUGAUCUGCCCCUUACUUUGGGAUAAGCCUGGGAAACUGGGUCUAAUACUGGAUAGGACCAUGCUGUAGGUGGUGUGGUGGAAAGAUUAGUUUCGGUAAGGGAUGAGCUCGCGGCCUAUCAGCUUGUUGGUGGGGUAAUGGCCUACCAAGGCGUCGACGGGUAGCCGGCCUGAGAGGGUGGACGGCCACAUUGGGACUGAGAUACGGCCCAGACUCCUACGGGAGGCAGCAGUGGGGAAUAUUGCACAAUGGGCGCAAGCCUGAUGCAGCGACGCCGCGUGGGGGAUGACGGCCUUCGGGUUGUAAACUCCUUUCAGCCAUGACGAAGCCCUUGUGGUGACGGUAGUGGUAGAAGAAGCACCGGCUAACUACGUC